Molecule: long non-coding RNA, 761 nt
Organism: Chenopodium quinoa (quinoa)
Lineage: Eukaryota; Viridiplantae; Streptophyta; Magnoliopsida; Caryophyllales; Amaranthaceae
Exons: 5
Source: RefSeq, a predicted model, not a curated record
UCCCUUUACUUUUUUGCUUCUUUUUUUGGAUGUUGUGUUUAUAAGACCUGUUGAUUCUGAUCAAGUUUUGACUAAGUGUUGACUGUGUAGGAGUUUUGGCUAAGGGAAGUUGUCCCUUGUUGAUUUACUUGGUGUAACGAAUCUUUUCCCACUGUAUCCAAAAUUCAAAUUUAAUCUACACUCUUUAAAAAGUGAGAAGAUCAGCAGAACUGUUCCUUAUGAACAGUAGGGCAGUGUGCGAACGGUUUUGUCCUUGUCUUGGGAUGUUAUUUGCGGUCUUGCCAUUGGAUCUUGAAUUCCUUUGCUUUCUACCUCAGCGGUCAGUCCUACUUUUCCUGAAUUCACUUGCCAUCACUCAUUCAUUUCCGUUUUCUCUCUCAUCCUACUCUCUUUCUCUUUCCUCCUCUGCUAUUGUCCAGCCAUUUUUCCACUUUUGCUUUUAAGAUUUUUCGCUCUUCCAUUGAAGGUCAAUCUGAGUUUUCCAUUGAAGCGUGUUCUGAGCUUCCUUUCUUCCAUUAUUGCUGAGUUCAGCGUAGUGUUUCUGGUGAAGGUGUUGGUGAGUUCGAUGUAUCUGCAUUCAAGGAAUCUUAUUAAAAAAUCAAGCAGAACGUAGAAUGAAACUGCAAUUUUGCCGCCAGACAAUUACAAAUGGCAUGAGAUAAAGAAUCUCAGACUCUUCCAGGUUUUGAUUCCUAUUCUGAAACCAACUAGAUACACUGGUGCUGAUCCUUAUAAAAUGUAAGGUACACAGAAUUCAAACC